UGCAAGUCGAACGGAAAGGCCGGGUGCUUGCACCUGGUACUCGAGUGGCGAACGGGUGAGUAACACGUGGGUGAUCUGCCCUGCACUUCGGGAUAAGCCUGGGAAACUGGGUCUAAUACCGGAUAGGACCAUCGUUUAGUGUCGGUGGUGGAAAGUUUUUUCGGUGUGGGAUGAGCUCGCGGCCUAUCAGCUUGUUGGUGGGGUAAUGGCCUACCAAGGCGUCGACGGGUAGCCGGCCUGAGAGGGUGGACGGCCACAUUGGGACUGAGACACGGCCCAGACUCCUACGGGAGGCAGCAGUGGGGAAUAUUGCACAAUGGGCGCAAGCCUGAUGCAGCGACGCCGCGUGGGGGAUGACGGCCUUCGGGUUGUAAACUCCUUUCAACCAUGACGAAGCUUUUGUGACGGUAGUGGUAGAAGAAGCACCGGCUAACUAC
RNAcentral lists this ribosomal RNA (437 nucleotides) under uncultured bacterium. Its description in RNAcentral is "bacterial SSU rRNA". It matches the Rfam family "Bacterial small subunit ribosomal RNA", at positions 56 to 504 of the family's 1533-position model. The record is from RNAcentral.